RNAcentral lists this ribosomal RNA (484 nucleotides) under uncultured bacterium. RNAcentral's name for it is "partial 16S ribosomal RNA". It matches the Rfam family "Bacterial small subunit ribosomal RNA", at positions 30 to 507 of the family's 1533-position model. The record is from RNAcentral.
AUUGAACGCUGGCGGCAGGCCUAACACAUGCAAGUCGAGCGGAUGAAGGGAGCUUGCUCCUGGAUUCAGCGGCGGACGGGUGAGUAAUGCCUAGGAAUCUGCCUGGUAGUGGGUGAUAACGUCCGGAAACGGGCGCUAAUACCGCAUACGUCCUGAGGGUGAUAGUGGGGGAUCUUCGGACCUCACGCUAUCAGAUGAGCCUAGGUCGGAUUAGCUAGUUGGUGGGGUAAAGGCCUACCAAGCCGACGAUCCGUAACUGGUCUGAGAGGAUGAUCAGUCACCUUGGAAGGUAGACACGGUCCAGAGUCCUAAGGGAGGCAGCAGUGGGGAAUAUUGGACAAUGGGCGAAAGCCUGAUACAGCCAUGCCGCGUGUGUGAAGAAGGUCUUCGGAUUGUAAAGCCCUUUAAGUUGGGAGGAAGGGCAAUAAGUUAAUACCUUGCUGUUUUGACGUUACCAACAGAAUAAGCACCGGCUAACUUCGUG